AUACGUAGGGGGCGAGCGUUGUCCGGAAUGAUUGGGCGUAAAGGGCGCGUAGGCGGCCCGGUAAGUCUGGAGUGAAAGUCCUGCUUUUAAGGUGGGAAUUGCUUUGGAUACUGUUGGGCUUGAGUGCAGGAGAGGUUAUCGGAAUUCCCGGUGUAGCGGUGAAAUGCGUAGAGAUCGGGAGGAACACCAGUGGCGAAGGCGGGUAACUGGACUGCAACUGACGCUGAGGCGCGAAAGUGUGGGGAGCAAACAGGAUUAGAUACCCUGGUAGUCCACACUGUAAACGAUGAAUGCUAGGUGUAAGAGGUAUCGACCCCUUUUGUGCCGGAGUUAACACAAUAAGCAUUCCGCCUGGGGAGUACGGCCGCAAGGUUGAAACUCAAAUGAAUUGACGGGG
This 397-nucleotide ribosomal RNA is filed under the name uncultured bacterium. RNAcentral's name for it is "partial 16S ribosomal RNA". It matches the Rfam family "Bacterial small subunit ribosomal RNA", at positions 523 to 918 of the family's 1533-position model. The record is from RNAcentral.